RNAcentral lists this transfer RNA (70 nucleotides) under Gymnopus androsaceus JB14. Its description in RNAcentral is "tRNA-Ala". It matches the Rfam family "tRNA". From Rfam's summary of the family: Transfer RNA (tRNA) molecules are approximately 80 nucleotides in length. Their secondary structure includes four short double-helical elements and three loops (D, anti-codon, and T loops). Further hydrogen bonds mediate the characteristic L-shaped molecular structure. tRNAs have two regions of fundamental functional importance: the anti-codon, which is responsible for specific mRNA codon recognition, and the 3' end, to which the tRNAs corresponding amino acid is attached (by aminoacyl-tRNA synthetases). tRNAs cope with the degeneracy of the genetic code in two manners: having more than one tRNA (with a specific anti-codon) for a particular amino acid; and 'wobble' base-pairing, i.e. permitting non-standard base-pairing at the 3rd anti-codon position. The record is from RNAcentral. Lineage: Eukaryota; Fungi; Basidiomycota; Agaricomycetes; Agaricales; Omphalotaceae.
GGGCAUGUAGCCAAGAGGUUAUUGCGUUCACUUUGCAUGUUCAUCCCCGGUUCGAAUCCGGGCUUGUCCA